RNAcentral lists this ribosomal RNA (760 nucleotides) under uncultured bacterium. RNAcentral describes it as "bacterial SSU rRNA". It matches the Rfam family "Bacterial small subunit ribosomal RNA", at positions 28 to 776 of the family's 1533-position model. The record is from RNAcentral.
GAUGAACGCUAGCUACAGGUCUUAACACAUGCAAGUCGAGGGGCAGCAUGGUCUUAGCUCGCUAAGGCCGAUGGCGACCGGCGCACGGGUGAGUAACACGUAUCCAACCUGCCGUCUACUCUUGGACAGCCUUCUGAAAGGAAGAUUAAUACAAGAUGGCAUCAUGAGUUCACAUGUUCACAUGAUUAAAGGUAUUCCGGUAGACGAUGGGGAUGCGUUCCAUUAGAUAGUAGGCGGGGUAACGGCCCACCUAGUCUUCGAUGGAUAGGGGUUCUGAGAGGAAGGUCCCCCACAUUGGAACUGAGACACGGUCCAAACUCCUACGGGAGGCAGCAGUGAGGAAUAUUGGUCAAUGGGCGAGAGCCUGAACCAGCCAAGUAGCGUGAAGGAUGACUGCCCUAUGGGUUGUAAACUUCUUUUAUAAAGGAAUAAAGUCGGGUAUGCAUACCCGUUUGUAUGUACUUUAUGAAUAAGGAUCGGCUAACUCCGUGCCAGCAGCCGCGGUAAUACGGAGGAUCCGAGCGUUAUCCGGAUUUAUUGGGUUUAAAGGGAGCGUAGAUGGAUGUUUAAGUCAGUUGUGAAAGUUUGCGGCUCAACCGUAAAAUUGCAGUUGAUACUGGAUAUCUUGAGUGCAGUUGAGGCAGGCGGAAUUCGUGGUGUAGCGGUGAAAUGCUUAGAUAUCACGAAGAACUCCGAUUGCGAANGCAGCCUGCUAAGCUGCAACUGACAUUGAGGCUCGAAAGUGUGGGUAUCAAACAGG